AACGAACGCUGGCGGCAUGCCUAACACAUGCAAGUCGAACGAGACCUUCGGGUCUAGUGGCGCACGGGUGCGUAACGCGUGGGAACCUGCCCUUAGGUUCGGAAUAACUCCCCGAAAGGGGUGCUAAUACCGGAUAAUGUCUUCGGACCAACGAUUUAUCGCCUUUGGAUGGGCCCGCGUUGGAUUAGCUAGUUGGUAGGGUAAAAGCCUACCAAGGCGACGAUCCAUAGCUGGUCUGAGAGGAUGAUCAGCCACACUGGGACUGAGACACGGCCCAGACUCCGACGGGAGGCAGCAGUGGGGAAGAGUGCAGAAUGGGCGCAAGCCUGCUGCAGCGAUGACGCGGGUAUGAAGAAGGCAUUCGGGUUGUAAAGUAGUUCCAGCGGGGAGGAAGGGAGUAAAGUGAAAACCUUCGCUCAUUGACGUUACCCGAAGAGGAAGCACCGGCUAACUCCGUG
This 458-nucleotide ribosomal RNA is filed under the name uncultured bacterium. RNAcentral describes it as "partial 16S ribosomal RNA". It matches the Rfam family "Bacterial small subunit ribosomal RNA", at positions 29 to 507 of the family's 1533-position model. The record is from RNAcentral.